RNAcentral lists this ribosomal RNA (406 nucleotides) under uncultured bacterium. RNAcentral describes it as "partial 16S ribosomal RNA". It matches the Rfam family "Bacterial small subunit ribosomal RNA", at positions 29 to 526 of the family's 1533-position model. The record is from RNAcentral.
AUUGAACGCUGGCGGCAUGCCUAACACAUGCAAGUCGAACGAGUGGCGGACGGGUGAGUAAUGUCUGGGAAACUGCCCGAUGGAGGGGGAUAACUACUGGAAACGGUAGCUAAUACCGCCUACCAUCGGAUGUGCCCAGAUGGGAUUAGCUAGUGGGGGGGGUAACGGCUCACCUAGGCGACGAUCCCUAGCUGGUCUGAGAGGAUGACGAGCCAAACUGGACCUGAGACACGGUCCAGACUCCUACGGGAGGCAGCAGGGGGGAAUAUUGCACAUGGGGCGCAAGCCGGAGGCAGCAAUGCCGCGGGUAUGAAGAAGGCCUCGGGGUGGUAAAGUACUUUCAGCGAGGAGGCGUUACUCGCAGAAGAAGCACCGGCUAACUCCGUGCCAGCAGCCGCGGUAAUUC